Molecule: long non-coding RNA, 2160 nt
Organism: Oncorhynchus kisutch (coho salmon)
Lineage: Eukaryota; Metazoa; Chordata; Actinopteri; Salmoniformes; Salmonidae
Source: Ensembl
AUGCCUCUCCUCCAUCCCCCUCACCGCCUCUCCUCCAUCCCCCUCUUCGCCUCUCCUCCAUCCCCCUUUCCUCCUCUCCUCUCCUCCAUCCCCUCUCCUCCAUCCCCCUCUAUGCCUCUCCUCCAUCCCCCCUCCUCCUCCCCCCUUCUCCGCCUCUCCUCCAUCCCCCUCUCCUCCUCCCCUCUUCGCGCUCUCCUUCAUCCCCCUUUCCCUCCUCUCCCUCCUCCUCCACCUGCGUCUCCAUCCACCCUCUAUGCCUCUCCUCCAUCCCCCUCUCCUCCAUCCUCCCCCCUCCGCCUCUCCUCUCCAUCCCCUCUCCCGCCUCUCCUCCAUCCCCUCUCCACCUCUCCUCCAUCCCCUCUCUCCUUCUCACCUCCAUCCCCCUCUCCUCCAUCCCCCUCUCCUCCAUCCGCCUCUCCUCCAUCCCCCUCUCAACCUCUCCUCCAUCCCCCUCUCUGCCUCUCCUCCACCCCCCCCCUCUCCUCCAUCCCCCUCUUCGCCUCUCCUCCAUCCCCCUCUCCUCCAUCCCCCUCUCCUCCAUCCCCCUCUCCUCCAUCCCCCUCUUCGCCUCUCCUCCAUCCCCCUCUCCUCCAUCCCCCUCUUCGCCUCUCCUCCAUCCCCCUCCUCCAUCCCCUCUCCUCUAUCCCCUCUCCUCCAUCCCCCUCUCCGCCUUUCCUCCAUCCCCCUCUCCUCCAUCCCCCUCUCCGCCUUUCCUCCAUCCCCUCUCCUCCAUCCCCCUCUCCUCCAUCCCCCUCUUCGCCUCUCCUCCAUCCCCUCUCCGCCUCUCCUCCAUCCCCCUCUCCACCUCUCCUCCAUCCCCCUCUCCUUCUCACCUCCAUCCCCCUCUCCUCCAUCCCCUCUCCUCCAUCCCCCCUCUCCGCCUCUCCUCCAUCCCCCUCUCAACCUCUCCUCCACCCCCCUCUCCUCCAUCCCCCUCUCCGCCUCUCCUCCACCCCCCCUCUCCUCCAUCCCCCUCUUCGCCUCUCCUCCAUCCCCCUCUCCUCCAUCCCCCUCUCCUCCAUCCCCCUCUUCGCCUCUCCUCCAUCCCCCUCUCCUCCAUCCCCCUCUUCGCCUCUCCUCCAUCCCCCUCUCCUCCAUCCCCCUCUCCUCCAUCCCCCUCUCCGCCUUUCCUCCAUCCCCCUCUCCUCCAUCCCCUCUCCUCCAUCCCCCUCUCCGCCUUUCCUCCAUCCCCCUCUCCUCCAUCCCCCUCUCCUCCAUCCCCCUCUUCGCCUCUCCUCCAUCCCCCUCUCCGCCUUUCCUCCAUCCCCCUCUCCCCCAUCCCCCUCUCCUCCAUCCCCCUCUUCGCCUCUCCUCCAUCCCCCCUCCGCCUUUCCUCCAUCCCCCUCUCCUCCAUCCCCCUCUUCGCCUCUCCUCCAUCCCCCUCUCCGCCUUUCCUCCAUCCCCCUCUCCUCCAUCCCCCUCUCCUCCAUCCCCUCUCCGCCUUUCCUCCAUCCCCUCUCCUCCAUCCCCCUCUUUGCCUCUCUCCAUCCCCCUCUCCGCCUUUCCUCCAUCCCCCUCUCCUCCAUCCCCCUCUCCUCCAUCCCCCUCUCUUCCAUCCCCUCUCCUCCAUCCCCCUCUCCUCCAUCCCCCUCUCCUCCUCGCCUCAUCCCCCUCCCCGUCCUCUUCGUCCGUCCGUCUGUCUUUACGGUUGAAUUUAGAAACCGUUGUUUAGAUGCAGCAGCUGGUGCAAUUAACCUCUCUGUCUCUCUGUCUCUCUCUCUCUCUUUCUCUCUCUCUCUCUCUCUCUCUCUCUCUCUCUCUCUCUCUCUCUCUCUCUCUCUCUCACUCUCUCACUCUCUCUUCACUCUCUCUCUCUCUCUCUCUCUCACUCUCUCACUCUCUCUUCACUCUCUCUCUUUCUUUCUCUUUCUCUCUCUCUCUCUUUCUCUCUCUCUCUCUAUCAUCCCUUUCUCUCUCCAUCUCUCUCUCUCUCCUCUCUCUAUCAUCCCCUUCUCUCUCCAUCUCUCUCUCUCUCUCUUUGAAACUCACUUCUCUCCUCUCUCUCUAUCAUCCCCUUCUCUCUCCAUCUCUCUGUUACAGCUUGUAGAGGAGUACCAGUUGAUUCUAACCAUUAAUUGCAUGAUUGAUUGCUCGGAUCAACAUGCAAUGAUGAACCUGCCUCAGAACACUGUAGACAACACCGUAUUAACCUGUUGGUAA